RNAcentral lists this long non-coding RNA (397 nucleotides) under Homo sapiens (human). RNAcentral's name for it is "non-protein coding lnc-ATP8B3-4:1". The record is from RNAcentral. Lineage: Eukaryota; Metazoa; Chordata; Mammalia; Primates; Hominidae.
UCUAAGAAAGAAGACUUUGGAGGAGGAGGGGAGAGUGCAGGGACCACCUCUUCCUCUCCCAGAUGAGCAGACUGGGACUGUGGUGCUGAAGAGGCUGUCCUGCCCUUGUCUCCAUCCCGGAGUUCCAGCUACUCUGUGACCCCCAGAAGUGGCCGGUGGUGCAGAACAGCCUGGAACAUGACAUGCUAGAUCAAUGUCCAUACACGUCCACAGAAAUAAAUGAAUGUUCCUUCUGCCAUGACUCAUGUCUCGGGGACAACAGGUUCACCCGUCUAGGGUGUGAGCUGACGCACACUUCACUCCCUCUGACCUGGAAUGUGUGGGGCUUCUAACUGCGGUUUCAGGUUUUAUGAUUAAAUGCAAGUGAUGCCUGUGGGUUACUGCACAUUUUAGAAAA